UGAGGAACACAAUAAAGUAUGUAUGUAUGUAUGUAUGUAUGUAUGUACGUAUGUACGUAUGUACGUAUGUACGUAUGUACGUAUGUACGUAUGUACGUAUGUACGUAUGUACGUAUGUACGUAUGUACGUAUGU
Molecule: non-coding RNA, 134 nt
Organism: Paramuricea clavata
Lineage: Eukaryota; Metazoa; Cnidaria; Anthozoa; Malacalcyonacea; Plexauridae
Source: the annotation of a GenBank genome assembly